GCGGAUUUAGCUCAGUUGGGAGAGCGUCAGACUGAAGAUCUGAAGGUCUUGUGUUCGAUCCACAAAAUUCGCA
Transfer RNA from Hanseniaspora osmophila, 73 nucleotides. It matches the Rfam family "tRNA". From Rfam's summary of the family: Transfer RNA (tRNA) molecules are approximately 80 nucleotides in length. Their secondary structure includes four short double-helical elements and three loops (D, anti-codon, and T loops). Further hydrogen bonds mediate the characteristic L-shaped molecular structure. tRNAs have two regions of fundamental functional importance: the anti-codon, which is responsible for specific mRNA codon recognition, and the 3' end, to which the tRNAs corresponding amino acid is attached (by aminoacyl-tRNA synthetases). tRNAs cope with the degeneracy of the genetic code in two manners: having more than one tRNA (with a specific anti-codon) for a particular amino acid; and 'wobble' base-pairing, i.e. permitting non-standard base-pairing at the 3rd anti-codon position. The record is from Rfam. NCBI's taxonomy places the organism in Eukaryota, Fungi, Ascomycota, Saccharomycetes, Saccharomycodales, Saccharomycodaceae.